This 3750-nucleotide long non-coding RNA is filed under the name Equus caballus (horse). RNAcentral's name for it is "lncRNA (ENSECAG00000057618.1)". The record is from RNAcentral. Lineage: Eukaryota; Metazoa; Chordata; Mammalia; Perissodactyla; Equidae.
CUAAUAUCUGCACUGUGCUGAGAUCACCACCUGGCACACAGUGAGCACUACAGGCAUAUUGGUUAAAUAAAAUAACAAUAAUAACAGUUUUAUCUACAGUCCCUCAGGUGGUGAGCCAGGGAAGAAGGUUCCGGUCUUUGAGUGCAGGACUGUCUCAGCCUUCUGAGAUGAUUACGGAGUGGAAUCAGGUUCUAUUUGUAUUAAUUUGGUGGGGCUGCCAUAAUAAAGGACCACAGACUGGGGGGCGUAAACAACAGAAAUUAAUUUCCUCACGGUUCUGGAGGCUGCAAGUCCGAGAGCAAGGUGUCUGCAGUUUUUCCGAGGCCUCUCUCCUCGGUUGCAGAUGGGCACCUUCUCCCUGUGUCCUCACAUGGCCUUUCCUCUGUGCUUCUGUGUCGUCAACUCCUCUUCUUAUAAGGACACCAGCCAUAUUGGAUUAGGGCCCAUCCUGAUGACCUUAUUUUCACUUAUCUCUUUAAAGUCCCUAUCUCCAAAUGCAGCCACAUUCUGAGGUGCUGGGGGUUAGGACCGCCACAUAGGAGUUUGGGAGAGAGGGGGUCACCAUUCAGCCCAUAACUGUAAGAAACCAGGAGAAUUACCUCUCACAUCGGAUGUAUCCCAUGCACUUGCUGGCUUACUUCUGCCUCAGUGUUUUUCAAAGUGUGGUCCAGAAUCACCUGCAACCGAAUCGCUUGGGCUGGUAAUAAAAAUGAGCCUGCUCCAAGCCCUUGGGUCAGAAUCUGGGGGAGGGGACUGCAGGGCCCACGCAUGCGGCUUGCUUGUUUUUUACAUUCAUUCGAAGGUUUAGUUUAAUCAAGGGAAUCCAGGAAAAGCCAGACAGCAAGGAAGGCCCCUUCUGCGCCCCCGCCACUGCAGUAGCCCGGGUAAGGGCGGGGGAAAGAGGAGGAGGAGAAAGGGAGGCGGCCCCGUGGGAAGUCUGAGCAGGGAGCACGUUCAUCCUGAUUGGUCACCCGAGGGGGUGACAGGAGGAUCUACUUUCCUGCUCAAAGCCAGCCUCCCGGUCCCGUUCAGUGCAGGGACGCGGAGUUUUGCAGUGUAGACGCCAGCAGAGGAGGCCAUCCUCCCACCCUCCCAACCCUGGCAAGGCCAGGCUGUGGAACGCAGCCUGACCGUGGGGUCCCGGCCUUUCCCCUGGGCUGCACACCCGCCCCGCAGCUCCCGGCAGAACUCCCCUGCCCCUGGACGGCCGAGGGCCUGCGCCUCGAGCGCUGAAGACACAGGCAGCAGGGGCGUUGUCCGGGGCCACGUGCUGGCGAAGGGAGCGAGGCCGAGUUGGUUCACGCAGCUGCGGCCUCUGCUCCCACACCGCCGGCAGCCGUGGGAGGGCCGGCAGGGCCAGGCUGGCGCCCGCGCCGCUCCGGACACGCGCCUGCCUUUCGCCACCCAAGCACCCGCCGUGCGCGCCGGGGGCCCCGCAGCGGCGCAGAGCGGCCUCGGGCUGGAAACGUCCUCCCGGCGCCGGCCGCGCCUCGCCUGCUCCGCCGGCUCCGGCUGGCACGCUCGCGGCUCCAAACACGGCCCGGCUGCAGGUCGGGCAGGCCGCUCGCCCCGCACCCCGUUCCCGCCGGGCGGGGGGCGCGUCUCCUGCUGACUCGCCAGACGCGGAGCCGUCCAGGCAGCCCCGCGGCGGGACAGUCCGGCUCCUGCGCUUCCUUCGGCGAAGCCCGAGGCGGCAGGCCGGCUCCCGGCUCGCCCUCCGCGCCUGCGCAGUGCUGAGCGCGCGGGACUCAGGCUCCGCGCGGGCCCCGCGCACCCCGCACAGUGUCAAGUUCGAACUGCUGGAACUCCGUGAAUCCUGAGUACUGCGAUGAUUUAGGGACGCUCCUGAAGCUGGUCCUUUAGAAACCGCAUGGCUAUAGAUUGUCGUAUACUGGAAAAUACUCGGAAGUAGGACCUGGAUUCAAAUCCUAGGUUUGCCACAUAUUAGCUGUGUGACUUUGGCCAAGUUACUGUACCUCUCUGAACGUCUGUUUCCUCAACUGCAAAGCGGAAUUGAUAUCAUCUUCCACAUUAGCAGUAGAAGACUCGCCCUGAGCUCACAUCCGUGCCCAUCUUCCUCUACUUUAUACGUGGGAUGCCUACCACAGCAUGGCUUGCCAAGCAGUGCCGUGUCCGCACCCGGGAUCCGAACUGGCGAACCUCGGGCCGCCGAAGCGGAAUGUGUGCACCCAACCGCUGCGCCACCAGGCCGGCCCUUACUUAGCCUCUUUGAAACUCAAUCUUCUCAUCUGUAAAUGGGGAUCCUACACCAUUAGGUUGUUGUGAAGAUGAAUGUGAAUAAAAUGUAUAUUGAAGUAGUUUGUAAACUGUAAAGUGCUGAGAAAAAACAAUAAUUCAAAUCCCUCUUAGCAGGUAAACCUUACUUGCACGUAGUAAGUACUCAGAGAUCUGUGUUAGGUUACUUAUUAAUUAAAAAUGUUUGCCACGGGAAUGCUGUUCAAUCCCCCAAACGAAUGGUGGGGGUGGGGGGGGUGUCCUGAGCAGUCCUCCAAGGGUCCCGUGGGUCCAUGGGUGGUCUCUGAGGGGGUCUGACAUUGGGUGCAUACUCCCAAUGCCCAGGCUCAUGCCUUGGAACAUCUUCUUCGAUCCCCAUGCGAUAGAUAUUAACCAAGAUUCUCUCACCUCAUGUGGGGCAAAUGAAGCCACGUCGGGACUAAUAAUCCAAAUGUUAGUUUGUUACCACCAUCUGUCACGUAGAACUUAAUCCCAGCAAAGCGCCUUCCCCCAUACUUUUGGGGAGCCCCUGCGGUGGGUGUCCUACCCCCAGGCGCCAGGCAUGCCCUUCCCUGCCCUGCCGUCUCACCCACGCAAAGCGUCCUCCUCUCCCGUAUGCUCACUGGGGGGGUCCCAGCACAGCGACCCUGUACCGCAGCAUCUUAUAGAGUAUUCAGCAAACACUUCUUUUAGCUCUUAGUGACGGCCCUGCCCAGGAAUCGGACAAGGACUCCACAUGAGGGAGUGCCAAGGAUAGAUUCAGCCACCGUCACCACAGUGUGCCCAAGGCUGCUCCUUUCUCCCACACGGACACUUGGCCACUUGGUGAGCUCACGUGCUUGGCUCCUCGCAGCUCGUCAAGAGAGGCAGGCUCCCCGACCCCUGGGGGUCCCCGCAGCUCCCCAGACACGGCCAAAUCCUAGUGCAGGCUCCAGCUUGCACCCUCCCGCUCUACAGAUGAAGAUACGCAGGCUCAGAGGGUCAAAUAACUUAUCCUACGUCAUGAGACCAGCAGGCGGCAGAGAGGAGAGCCAAACCAGAGCAAAGUCCAAAUCCUGUGUUCUUUCUGAUCCAAAUCCCAGAUCAAAGUGGCAGUGACACGUUGUUCUGACCCUGGCUCCAUUCGGGAGGGCACGCUGUGCUGCUCACUGUUUGCUCUACAAGCUGUUCUCCUCCCCAGGGGCUUCAGGCUCUUUCUGCUUGUUUCUAUUGGGAGUUACGGUUUAGGCAUAAAAAAUUGGGAAUUUCAAGCCAUUUCACCUUCCUUCCCAUCCCCAGCUGCCCUCCCAACAGACCUACAAUUUAUCUAGUGAUAUUUGGCUCAUGGUUAAAAGCACCAUGGUGCUUAUACAGAUGACAGAACAAGCAAGUCUUGGCCACAGCUAAGGGCCACCUUAGCCAGUGUUAGUAGAUCUGAGACAAACACAAAUGCCUUGCCUCGGUUCCCAAAGCCCUAGAACCGGCUGCCCUACCCCUGCCCUCUGCUCCAGCCUAAAGGCCCUCACCCUGAGUUCU